Corchorus capsularis is the source of this 119-nucleotide ribosomal RNA. Lineage: Eukaryota; Viridiplantae; Streptophyta; Magnoliopsida; Malvales; Malvaceae. The record is from Rfam.
GGGUGCGAUCAUACCAGCACUAAUGCACCGGAUCCCAUCAGAACUACUCAGUUAAGCGUGCUUGGGCGAGAGUAGUACUAGGAUGGGUGACCUCCUGGGAAGUCCUCGUGUUGCACCCC